This 555-nucleotide ribosomal RNA is filed under the name uncultured bacterium. RNAcentral's name for it is "bacterial SSU rRNA". It matches the Rfam family "Bacterial small subunit ribosomal RNA", at positions 8 to 564 of the family's 1533-position model. The record is from RNAcentral.
AGAGUUUGAUCAUGGCUCAGGAUGAACGCUAGCUGGAGGCUUAAUACAUGCAAGUCGAGCGGGAUUGGUAGCAAUACCAUGAGAGCGGCGCACGGGUGAGUAACGCGUACACGACCUACCUCUGACAGGGGGAUAGCCCUGGGAAACUGGGAUUAAUACCGCAUAUUAUUCUGAUUAAUAAAGGAUUGGAAUGAAAGUUCAGGCGGUCAGAGAUGGGUGUGCGUCUGAUUAGCUAGUUGGUAGGGUAACGGCCUACCAAGGCGAUGAUCAGUAGGGGGCGUGAGAGCGUGGUCCCCCACACGGGUACUGAGACACGGACCCGACUCCUACGGGAGGCAGCAGUAAGGAAUAUUGGACAAUGGCCGCAAGGCUGAUCCAGCCAUCCAGCGUGCAGGAAGAAGGCCCUAUGGGUUGUAAACUGCUUUUAUCAGGGAAUAAACCUCUGGAUUCACUCCGGAGCUGAAGGUACCUGAAGAAUAAGCACCGGCUAACUCCGUGCCAGCAGCCGCGGUAAUACGGAGGGUGCGAGCGUUAUCCGGAAUUACUGGGUUUAAA